This 463-nucleotide ribosomal RNA is filed under the name uncultured bacterium. Its description in RNAcentral is "partial 16S ribosomal RNA". It matches the Rfam family "Bacterial small subunit ribosomal RNA", at positions 30 to 507 of the family's 1533-position model. The record is from RNAcentral.
CGAACGCUGGCGGCGUGCUUACCACAUGCACGUCGACCGGAAAGGCCCCUUUGGGGGUACUCGAGUGGCGAACGGGUGAGUAACACGUGAGUAACCUGCCCUUGACUUCGGGAUAACUUCAGGAAACUGGGGCUAAUACCGGAUAGGAAUCCUUGCUGCAUGGUGGGGGUUGGAAAGCUUCGGCGGUUUUGGAUGGACUCGCGGCUUAUCAGCUUGUUGGUGGGGUAGUGGCUUACCAAGGCUUUGACGGGUAGCCGGCCUGAGAGGGCGACCGGCCACAUUGGGACUGAGAUACGGCCCAGACUCCUACGGGAGGCAGCAGUGGGGAAUAUUGCACAAUGGGCGGAAGCCUGAUGCAGCAACGCCGCGUGCGGGAUGACGGCCUUCGGGUUGUAAACCGCUUUCAGCAGGGGCGAAGCUUGUGGUGACGGUACCUGCAGAAGAAGCACCGGCUAACUACGUG